GCCUCUUUAGCUCAAAGGCAGAGCAGCGGUUUUGUAAACCGCAGAUUAGAGUUCGACUCUCUAAAGAGGCUCCA
RNAcentral lists this transfer RNA (74 nucleotides) under Patescibacteria group bacterium. RNAcentral's name for it is "tRNA-Thr". It matches the Rfam family "tRNA". Rfam says of the family: Transfer RNA (tRNA) molecules are approximately 80 nucleotides in length. The record is from RNAcentral.